GACGAACGCUGGCGGCGUGCCUAAUACAUGCAAGUCGAACGAACUCUGGUAUUGAUUGGUGCUUGCAUCAUGAUUUACAUUUGAGUGAGUGGCGAACUGGUGAGUAACACGUGGGAAACCUGCCCAGAAGCGGGGGAUAACACCUGGAAACAGAUGCUAAUACCGCAUAACAACUUGGACCGCAUGGUCCGAGUUUGAAAGAUGGCUUCGGCUAUCACUUUUGGAUGGUCCCGCGGCGUAUUAGCUAGAUGGUGGGGUAACGGCUCACCAUGGCAAUGAUACGUAGCCGACCUGAGAGGGUAAUCGGCCACAUUGGGACUGAGACACGGCCCAAACUCCUACGGGAGGCAGCAGUAGGGAAUCUUCCACAAUGGACGAAAGUCUGAUGGAGCAACGCCGCGUGAGUGAAGAAGGGUUUCGGCUCGUAAAACUCUGUUGUUAAAGAAGAACAUAUCUGAGAGUAACUGUUCAGGUAUUGACGGUAUUUAACCAGAAAGCCACGGCUAACUACGUGCCAGCAGCCGCGGUAAUGCGUAGGUGGCAAGCGUUGUCCGGAUUUAUUGGGCGUAAAGCGAGCGCAGGCGGUUUUUUAAGUCUGAUGUGAAAGCCUUCGGCUCAACCGAAGAAGUGCAUCGGAAACUGGGAAACUUGAGUGCAGAAGAGGACAGUGGAACUCCAUGUGUAGCGGUGAAAUGCGUAGAUAUAUGGAAGAACACCAGUGGCGAAGGCGGCUGUCUGGUCUGCAACUGACGCUGAGGCUCGAAAGUAUGGGUAGCAAACAGGAUUAGAUACCCUGGUAGUCCAUACCGUAAACGAUGAAUGCUAAGUGUUGGAGGGUUUCCGCCCUUCAGUGCUGCAGCUAACGCAUUAAGCAUUCCGCCUGGGGAGUACGGCCGCAAGGCUGAAACUCAAAGGAAUUGACGGGGGCCCGCACAAGCGGUGGAGCAUGUGGUUUAAUUCGAAGCUACGCGAAGAACCUUACCAGGUCUUGACAUACUAUGCAAAUCUAAGAGAUUAGACGUUCCCUUCGGGGACAUGGAUACAGGUGGUGCAUGGUUGUCGUCAGCUCGUGUCGUGAGAUGUUGGGUUAAGUCCCGCAACGAGCGCAACCCUUAUUAUCAGUUGCCAGCAUUAAGUUGGGCACUCUGGUGAGACUGCCGGUGACAAACCGGAGGAAGGUGGGGAUGACGUCAAAUCAUCAUGCCCCUUAUGACCUGGGCUACACACGUGCUACAAUGGAUGGUACAACGAGUUGCGAACUCGCGAGAGUAAGCUAAUCUCUUAAAGCCAUUCUCAGUUCGGAUUGUAGGCUGCAACUCGCCUACAUGAAGUCGGAAUCGCUAGUAAUCGCGGAUCAGCAUGCCGCGGUGAAUACGUUCCCGGGCCUUGUACACACCGCCCGUCACACCAUGAGAGUUUGUAACACCCAAAGUCGGUGGGGUAACCUUUUAGGAACCAGCCGCCUAAGGUGGGACAGAUGAUUAGGGUG
RNAcentral lists this ribosomal RNA (1489 nucleotides) under Lactiplantibacillus plantarum subsp. plantarum. RNAcentral's name for it is "bacterial SSU rRNA". It matches the Rfam family "Bacterial small subunit ribosomal RNA". The record is from RNAcentral. Lineage: Bacteria; Bacillati; Bacillota; Bacilli; Lactobacillales; Lactobacillaceae.